This 492-nucleotide ribosomal RNA is filed under the name uncultured bacterium. RNAcentral describes it as "partial 16S ribosomal RNA". It matches the Rfam family "Bacterial small subunit ribosomal RNA", at positions 30 to 507 of the family's 1533-position model. The record is from RNAcentral.
AUUGAACGCUGGCGGCAUGCUUUACACAUGCCAGUCGAACGGUAACAGGCCUUCGGGUGCUGACGAGUGGCGAACGGGUGCGUAAUGCAUCGGAACGUGCCCAGAGGUGGGGGAUAACGCAGCGAAAGCUGUGCUAAUACCGCAUGUGAUCUGAGGAUGAAAGCGGGGGACCAAGCAGCAAUGUUUGGCCUCGCGCCUCUGGAGCGGCCGAUGUCAGAUUAGGUAGUUGGUGGGGUAAAGGCCUACCAAGCCGACGAUCUGUAGCUGGUCUGAGAGGACGACCAGCCACACUGGGACUGAGACACGGCCCAGACUCCUACGGGAGGCAGCAGUGGGGAAUUUUGGACAAUGGGCGCAAGCCUGAUCCAGCAAUGCCGCGUGCGGGAAGAAGGCCUUCGGGUUGUAAACCGCUUUUGUACGGAACGAAAAGGCUCUGGCUAAUACCUGGGGCUGAUGACGGUACCAUAAGAAUAAGCACCGGCUAACUACGUG